This 77-nucleotide transfer RNA is filed under the name Deltaproteobacteria bacterium. RNAcentral describes it as "tRNA-Pro". It matches the Rfam family "tRNA". From Rfam's summary of the family: Transfer RNA (tRNA) molecules are approximately 80 nucleotides in length. Their secondary structure includes four short double-helical elements and three loops (D, anti-codon, and T loops). Further hydrogen bonds mediate the characteristic L-shaped molecular structure. tRNAs have two regions of fundamental functional importance: the anti-codon, which is responsible for specific mRNA codon recognition, and the 3' end, to which the tRNAs corresponding amino acid is attached (by aminoacyl-tRNA synthetases). tRNAs cope with the degeneracy of the genetic code in two manners: having more than one tRNA (with a specific anti-codon) for a particular amino acid; and 'wobble' base-pairing, i.e. permitting non-standard base-pairing at the 3rd anti-codon position. RNAcentral also lists the same sequence under 1 other name. The record is from RNAcentral. Lineage: Bacteria; Pseudomonadati; Myxococcota; Myxococcia.
CGGGGAUUAGCUCAGCCUGGUAGAGCGCUUGCCUUGGGCGCAAGAGGUCGUCGGUUCGAAUCCGGCAUCCCCGACCA